CGUACACAUGUUUCAACUAUCAGAAAGCGAGGGAGCACGCGCCACUUCGCACCUUCGGGCUGUUUUUGCGCGCUCGCUCGGAAGUUAAAACGCAAAGUUGGGAAGAAGUUCGCUGGAGGUAGUUUUCCGUGCACUUUGCCAAACGGAGCGUCGACAUUGUCUCGAGGCGUCGGCGGCGGCAUCACAGCAGCAGAGCCAUUGCCGGUGAACUAGUGAACUUACGAGGGCAUUAAUCAUUUUUGAUAUACAUUGUGAGUGUUAGUCGUGUGAUGCAUUCAUGACAAUCUAUUCAGUGUGAGCGUUCGGGGGAGUUAUUAUACGUAGGCAACCAACAAUUCACUACUUUUAGGAAGAAAUUGAUAUAUAAACAGGCGUCUACCUUUGACUAUUAAUGUUUUACUCCAACCAAAACCCAUUAAUUACUAAAAUUACAAGUAUUUAAAUUGUGGGCUAAUUGCAAGAUAUAUAUUACUGUAAAUUAUCAUAUACAGAAUGGAUUACAACACAAAUUCAUGUAUUUGUAAACUGUUGUCUUGUUCAUCACUCGUCACAUUGUCAUUAUUUGCAUUGAGGAUUGCGGAUUGCGAACGUUAUCGUGAUGGCAAUUGCGAUAUUGCGAUAUUGUGAUACGCAUUGCGCUGGCAAAUAAUACGUACAUUUGUCUGGAUGAUCCUGAUCUAUUGCGGACGAUUAUCCUCGCCACAGAAAUGGCGGAAUAUCAAAUAUGAAUAUAACUUUCGCGGCGCGCGUGCAUUUCUUUCAACAAUGCGCUCGUGUACAUCAUAUUCCCAAGCCGACUGCGCCGCAGAAAGCCAAGAUUUAUACGCAGAUAAGAAUUGCAAUAGCUAGAAAAUGGAAAUGGCGAAAUGAAACAAAUGAAAUGUAAGCAGAAAUUAACAUUUUUGCGUAUGAAAAUUGAGAUAAUACUCGAAUGCGAUUAUUCUUCGUGGAACAAAAGAAAGUUUUUAAUGAAAAGCAUUAUAAUUCUAAAAUAAAUGCUUAAAUAAAAAUUUAUUAAAAUAUCAUUUGAUUUAAUUGUCAAAUGCUUCUAGAAUAUUUACCUAUUUAUGCUGCAAGACCUUGCU
Long non-coding RNA from Dalotia coriaria, 1085 nucleotides. RefSeq lists it as uncharacterized. The transcript is spliced from 3 exons. NCBI's taxonomy places the organism in Eukaryota, Metazoa, Arthropoda, Insecta, Coleoptera, Staphylinidae. The record is from RefSeq and is a predicted model, not a curated record.